UCAGUCGACUCCUACGGGGAGGCAGCAGUGGGGAAUAUUGCACAAUGGGGGAAACCCUGAUGCAGCCAUGCCGCGUGCGUGAAGAAGGCCUUCGGGUUGUAAAGCACUUUCAGUAGGGAGGAAGGUAGUGUAGUUAACACCUGCAUUAUUUGACGUUACCUACAGAAGAAGCACCGGCUAACUCCGUGCCAGCAGCCGCGGUAAUACGGAGGGUGCGAGCGUUAAUCGGAAUUACUGGGCGUAAAGCGCAUGCAGGCGGCCUGUUAAGUCAGAUGUGAAAGCCCGGGGCUUAACCUCGGAAUUGCAUUUGAAACUGGCAGGCUAGAGUCUUGUAGAGGGGGGUAGGAAUUUCAGGUGUAGCGGUGAAAUGCGUAGAGAUCUGAAGGAAUACCAGUGGCGAAGGCGGCCCCCUGGACAAAGACUGACGCUCAGAUGCGAAAGCGUGGGGAGCAAACAGGAUUAGAUACCCUGGUAG
This 475-nucleotide ribosomal RNA is filed under the name uncultured bacterium. RNAcentral's name for it is "bacterial SSU rRNA". It matches the Rfam family "Bacterial small subunit ribosomal RNA", at positions 328 to 793 of the family's 1533-position model. The record is from RNAcentral.